RNAcentral lists this ribosomal RNA (253 nucleotides) under uncultured bacterium. RNAcentral's name for it is "partial 16S ribosomal RNA". It matches the Rfam family "Bacterial small subunit ribosomal RNA", at positions 524 to 776 of the family's 1533-position model. The record is from RNAcentral.
UACGGAGGGUGCAAGCGUUGUUCGGAAUUAUUGGGCGUAAAGGGCAGGUAGGUGGUCUUGAAAGUCUGCUGUGAAAUCCCCGGGCUUAACUCGGGAAGUGCGGCAGAUACUCCAAGACUAGAGUGCUGGAGGGGUUCGUGGAAUUCCCGGUGUAGCGGUGAAAUGCGUAGAUAUCGGGAAGAACACCCGUGGCGAAGGCGGCUCUCUGGGACGGUACUGACGCUGAGACGCGAAAGCGUGGGGAGCGAACAGG